RNAcentral lists this transfer RNA (87 nucleotides) under Coralloluteibacterium stylophorae. RNAcentral describes it as "tRNA-Leu". It matches the Rfam family "tRNA". Rfam says of the family: Transfer RNA (tRNA) molecules are approximately 80 nucleotides in length. Their secondary structure includes four short double-helical elements and three loops (D, anti-codon, and T loops). Further hydrogen bonds mediate the characteristic L-shaped molecular structure. tRNAs have two regions of fundamental functional importance: the anti-codon, which is responsible for specific mRNA codon recognition, and the 3' end, to which the tRNAs corresponding amino acid is attached (by aminoacyl-tRNA synthetases). tRNAs cope with the degeneracy of the genetic code in two manners: having more than one tRNA (with a specific anti-codon) for a particular amino acid; and 'wobble' base-pairing, i.e. permitting non-standard base-pairing at the 3rd anti-codon position. Lineage: Bacteria; Pseudomonadati; Pseudomonadota; Gammaproteobacteria; Lysobacterales; Lysobacteraceae. The record is from RNAcentral.
GCCCGGAUGGCGAAAUCGGUAGACGCAGGAGAUUUAAAAUCUUCCGGCCGCAAGGCCAUGCCGGUUCGAACCCGGCUCCGGGCACCA